CCGGCGCACGGGUGAGUAACACGUAUGGAACCUGCCCGCAGCAGGGGGAUAAGCGGAAGAAAUUCCGUCUAAUACGGCAUAAUGCAUCGACGGGACAUCCUGUUGGUGCCAAAGGUUGAUUCCGGUGGCGGAUGGGCAUGCGUCGCAUUAGUUAGUUGGCGGUGUAACGGACCACCAAGACGACGAUGCGUAGGGGUUCUGAGAGGAAGGUCCCCCACACUGGUACUGAGACACGGACCAGACUCCUACGGAAGGCAGCAG
This 261-nucleotide ribosomal RNA is filed under the name uncultured bacterium. RNAcentral's name for it is "partial 16S ribosomal RNA". It matches the Rfam family "Bacterial small subunit ribosomal RNA", at positions 95 to 354 of the family's 1533-position model. The record is from RNAcentral.